RNAcentral lists this ribosomal RNA (494 nucleotides) under uncultured Theileria sp. Its description in RNAcentral is "SSU rRNA". It matches the Rfam family "Eukaryotic small subunit ribosomal RNA", at positions 497 to 1028 of the family's 1831-position model. Lineage: Eukaryota; Apicomplexa; Aconoidasida; Piroplasmida; Theileriidae. The record is from RNAcentral.
UGUCUUGGUAAAAUGGAAUGAUGGGAAUUUAAACCUCUUCCAGAGUAUCAAUUGGAGGGCAAGUCUGGUGCCAGCAGCCGCGGUAAUUCCAGCUCCAAUAGCGUAUAUUAAAAUUGUUGCAGUUAAAAAGCUCGUAGUUGAAUUUCUGCUGCAUCGCGUCUUCUUUUUGAUGAGUUGGCGUAUUGCGGCUUUUUUCGGAUGAUUUUUUUGUCCGGAUGAUUACUUUGAGAAAAUUAGAGUGCUCAAAGCAGGCUUUUGCCUUGAAUAGUUUAGCAUGGAAUAAUAAAGUAGGACUUUGGUUCUAUUUUGUUGGUUUUAGGUACCAAAGUAAUGGUUAAUAGGAACAGUUGGGGGCAUUCGUAUUUAACUGUCAGAGGUGAAAUUCUUAGAUUUGUUAAAGACGAACUACUGCGAAAGCAUUUGCCAAGGAUGUUUUCAUUAAUCAAGAACGAAAGUUAGGGGAUCGAAGACGAUCAGAUACCGUCGUAGUCCUA